UUUUUUUUUGCUUCUCUGAGCUUGAAGCCAGAGGCCCUGACCAUGGAAGCAAAGGUGGGUAUGAAUGAAGUAAGUAGGAAAAAGCAAGGACAAAGCCAGAAGCAAGUCUGUCUUGCUAGUCUCCAGUCCUGAUGAUGCAGGUGACCUGAAGGGCAAGGUGAUUCUCUUCACCAGAAAGCUGAACCACACCUGGCCAAAAUCAGAGAAGCUGAAGGAGAAGUUUUGCCAAAAUAAGUGGAAAUGUAUGAUCUGAAACUACACAUGAAUCUCAACAGAGUAUCUUCUGUGUUCAAAAUGCAAUGAAAGUAGAAAUCAACAAUAGAAAAGGAACUAAAAGAGCAAUACAUGUGAAAACUGAAUUGCAAGCUUUUAAUAUCUUACUAUUUAAAAAAGUCUUGAUGGGAAUUAGAAAAUAUUUAUAAAAUUAUGGAUUAUAAAAGAAAAGUUAAAAAUUACAUAAAAACAAAUAAAUGUACCUUCUCUGCUCAGUGGUAUAGACUAUGUUUGUUGAUUGUGUUGUUCCAAAUUUCCCCAUACAAAUAUUAGAUAAAUUUCUCUACCGAAUAUUUAAUUCAAAAUCACACAGAAAAAAUGUGACAUGUAAUUCCAAGUUAGUUAAAUUGACACAGUAGAAAGGUAUUAAUUCUUUAUUGAUUUCUGUGACUUUUUUUUCACUCAAAAACAACUUUCUAACUUGUUUUGUGUAGGUAUAUAGCCUUACCUUUCAUUGCUGUAUUGUGGUCCACUAUGUGAAAAUCUCUAUCUGUUCUACUAUAUGUGGGUAUCUCAGUUGUUUCCAGUUUUUGCUUUUAUAAAGGAUGUUAUUGUGGAUAUUCUUAUAUAUUUCUCCUAAUGUAAAUUGUACAACCAUUUCUCCAUGGUUUAUAAAUAGGAGACUUAUCACCUAAUUUUAUAAAAUAAUGCUAACCUGUCUUCCAGAAAUAUUUACCAAGUUUAUAUUUCUACUAAUGCCGUAUUAAAGUUUUAAUUGAACUACAUGCUUAUUAAUACUUAGCAUUAUCAUACUGCUCAAUAUUGUCUAGU
Molecule: long non-coding RNA, 1044 nt
Filed under: Marmota monax (woodchuck)
Lineage: Eukaryota; Metazoa; Chordata; Mammalia; Rodentia; Sciuridae
Source: RNAcentral